This 267-nucleotide ribosomal RNA is filed under the name uncultured bacterium. RNAcentral describes it as "partial 16S ribosomal RNA". The record is from RNAcentral.
CUGCUGCCUUCCGUAGGAGUCUGGUCCGUGUCUCAGUACCAGUGUGGGGGACCUUCCUCUCAGAACCCCUACGCAUCGUCGCCUUGGUGGGCCGUUACCCCGCCAACUAGCUAAUGCGCCGCAUGCCCAUCCUCCGCCGGAAUCGCUUCCUUUUAACACCCGUGGGAUGCCCCACAGAUGUACCACGCGGUAUUAGUCCGGAUUUCUCCGGGUCAUCCCCCUGCGGAGGGCAGGUUGCAUACGUGUUACUCACCCGUGCGCCGGUCG